UGGGGAAUAUUGCGCAAUGGGCGAAAGCCUGACGCAGCGACGCAGCGUGAGGGACGAAGGCCUUCGGGUUGUAAACCUCUUUCAGCGGGGACGAAGCGAAAGUGACGGUACCCGCAGAAGAAGCACCGGCUAACUACGUGCCAGCAGCCGCGGUAAUACGUAGGGUGCAAGCAUUGUCCGGAUUUAUUGGGCGUAAAGAGCUCGUAGGCGGCUUGUCACGUCGGGCGUGAAAACUCGGGGCUUAACCCCGAGCCUGCGCUCGAUACGGGCUAGCUAGAGUGUUGCAGGGGAGACUGGAAUUCCUGGUGUAGCGGUGAAAUGCGCAGAUAUCAGGAGGAACACCGGUGGCGAAGGCGGGUCUCUGGGCAACUACUGACGCUGAGGAGCGAAAGCGUGGGGAGCGAACAGG
This 409-nucleotide ribosomal RNA is filed under the name uncultured bacterium. RNAcentral describes it as "bacterial SSU rRNA". It matches the Rfam family "Bacterial small subunit ribosomal RNA", at positions 355 to 776 of the family's 1533-position model. The record is from RNAcentral.